Molecule: long non-coding RNA, 1304 nt
Filed under: Homo sapiens (human)
Lineage: Eukaryota; Metazoa; Chordata; Mammalia; Primates; Hominidae
Description: PREDICTED lncRNA (TCONS_00231713)
Source: RNAcentral
GUCCCCUUUUGUGCUGUGGAAGCUUUGUUCUUUCUCUGUUUGCAAUAAAUCUUACUGCUGCUCACUCUUUGGGUCUACGCCGCCUUUAUGAGCUAUAACACUCACCGUGAAGGUCUGCAUCUUCACUCCUGAAGCCAGUGAGACUACGAACAAACGCAUUGGGAGGGACGAACAAACGCAUUGGGAGGGACCAACAACUCCGGACAUGAGGAACAAACAACUCCAGAUGCGCUGUCUUUAAGAGCUGUAACACUCACAGCAAAGGUCUGCGCCUCACUUCUUAAGUCAGUGAGACCACAAACCCACCAGAAGGAAGAAACUCCGGACGCAUCUGAACAUCUGAAAGCACAAACUCUGGACACACCAUCUUUAAGAACUGUAACACUCACCGCGAGGGUCCGCAGCUUCAUUCUGGAAGUCAGCAAGACCAAGAACCCAUUAUUCCGGACACAAAGGGGCAGCUGCUGUAGCUGUGUCACCUGACAAGCAACCAGCGCCCCCGCUGCACAAAGCAGCAGCAGCAGCAGUUUCAGCACAGCCCAGAAACGAGUGUGCUUCCGGGGGAGUGGCUUGCAGGGGCAGGAUUCGGACUUAGAUUUGGGGGCCUAAUUUGUUUCCUUGUUCCAGGGAGAAGAUGUCCAUCUAUAAGAAAGUGGUCCCUCAGCAGACACUGAAUCUGCUGGUGUCCUGAUCUUGAAUAUACCAGCCUCCAGAACUGUGCAAGUCAUCCCUGAGGAAGUAGUGACCAGCUGUGGAUGCUACGCUGAGGCCCUUCUUUAAGAGUGAUCUGAUGGCACUGGAUGUCUGCUGAGGCUUGUGUCUAGAAGGAAUGAAAGGAUGUGCCAACAACAGCAGUUGUCUCCUCGUUUUCAAAGCUCAGGCCUCAUGAUGGCUCUGUGGCCCAGGCUGGAGUGAAGUGGCACCAUCUCAGCUCACCGUAACCUCUGCCCCACAGGUUCAAGUGAUUCUCUUGCCUCAGCCUCCUGAAUAGCUGAGAUUACAGGUGUGCGCUGCCAUGUCCAGCUAAUUUUUGUAUUUUUAGUAGAGAGAGCGUUUCACCAUGUUGGCCAGGCUGGUCUGGAACUUCUGACCUCAGGUGAUCCACCCACCUUGGCCUCCCAAAGUGCUGGGAUUAUAGGCGUGAGCCACCACCCCUGGCCUGAACUGUUUACUUUGUAGUUAGUUUUAUGAUGUGCCUGUGGCACUAUUUUCAGUAUGCUGUUUAUUAAAACUGGAAAUAAAGUAAAAAAUUUUAAAUCUUCACAACCAGGUUAAUUUGAAUGCACUGAGAUAAUUUAUGGUUU